CCUACGGGAGGCAGCAGUGGGGAAUAUUGCACAAUGGGGGAAACCCUGAUGCAGCGACGCCGCGUGAGUGAAGAAGCGCCUCGGCGUGUAAAGCUCUGUUAGUAGGAACGACGAUGACGGUACCUGUAGAGGAAGCCCCGGCUAACUACGUGCCAGCGCCCCCGGUAAUAUGCAGGGGGCAGGCGUUAUCCGGAUUUACUGGGGGUUAAGGGAGCGUAGACGGCGGGGCAAGUCUGGAGUGAAAGGCCGGGGCCCAACCCCGGGACCGCACUGGAAACUGCCCGGCUGGAGUUCGGGAGAGGUAAGCGGAAUUCCUAGUGUAGCGGUGAAAUGCGUAGAUAUUAGGAGGAACACCAGCGGCGAAGGCGGCUUACUGGACCGUGACUGACGUUGAGGCUCGAAAGCGUGGGGAGCAAACAGGAUUAGAUACCCUAGUAGUC
RNAcentral lists this ribosomal RNA (440 nucleotides) under uncultured bacterium. Its description in RNAcentral is "partial 16S ribosomal RNA". It matches the Rfam family "Bacterial small subunit ribosomal RNA", at positions 338 to 795 of the family's 1533-position model. The record is from RNAcentral.